UACGUAGGUGGCAAGCGUUGUCCGGAUUUGUUGAGCGUAAAGCGAGCGCAGGCGGUUCCUUAAGUCUGAUGUGAAAGCCCACGGCUCAACCGUGGAAGGUCAUUGGAAACUGGGGAACUUGAGUGCAGAAGAGGAGAGUGGAAUUCCAUGUGUAGCGGUGAAAUGCGUAGAUAUAUGGAGGAACACCAGUGGCGAAGGCGACUCUCUGGUCUGUAACUGACGCUGAGGCUCGAAAGCGUGGGGAGCAAACAGGAUUA
RNAcentral lists this ribosomal RNA (257 nucleotides) under uncultured prokaryote. Its description in RNAcentral is "partial 16S ribosomal RNA". It matches the Rfam family "Bacterial small subunit ribosomal RNA", at positions 524 to 780 of the family's 1533-position model. The record is from RNAcentral.